This 502-nucleotide ribosomal RNA is filed under the name uncultured Pedobacter sp. RNAcentral describes it as "partial 16S ribosomal RNA". Lineage: Bacteria; Pseudomonadati; Bacteroidota; Sphingobacteriia; Sphingobacteriales; Sphingobacteriaceae. The record is from RNAcentral.
CACGGAGUUAGCCGAUCCUUAUUCUUCCGGUACAUUCAGCUCUCUACACGUAGAAAGGUUUAUUCCCGGAUAAAAGCAGUUUACAACCCAUAGGGCAGUCUUCCUGCACGCGGCAUGGCUGGUUCAGAGUUGCCUCCAUUGACCAAUAUUCCUUACUGCUGCCUCCCGUAGGAGUCUGGUCCGUGUCUCAGUACCAGUGUGGGGGGUCAUCCUCUCAGAUCCCCUAGUCAUCGUCGCCUUGGUGGGCCGUUACCCCGCCAACUAGCUAAUGACACGCAUGCCCAUCUUAAUCCUAUAAAUAUUUGAACAUUGGAUAAUGCUAUCCUGUGUUUUUAUGCGGUGUUAAUCCGAAUUUCUUCGGGCUAUCCCCCUGAUUAAGGUAGGUUGCAUACGCGUUACGCACCCGUGCGCCACUUUCUUAAGGAGCAAGCCCCUUAAUAUCGUUCGACUUGCAUGUAUUAGGCCUGCCGCUAGCGUUCAUCCUGAGCCAGGAUCAAACUCU